RNAcentral lists this ribosomal RNA (1374 nucleotides) under uncultured marine bacterium. RNAcentral describes it as "bacterial SSU rRNA". It matches the Rfam family "Bacterial small subunit ribosomal RNA", at positions 29 to 1393 of the family's 1533-position model. The record is from RNAcentral.
UUGAACGCUGGCGGUAUGCUUAACACAUGCAAGUCGAACGGAAACGAUACUAGCUUGCUAGUAGGCGUCGAGUGGCGGACGGGUGAGUAACGCGUAGGAAUCUGCCUGAUAGUGGGGGAUAGCCCGAAGAAAUUCGGAUUAAUACCGCAUAAUCUAUUCGUAGUAAAGUGGGGGACUUUCGAGCCUCACGCUAUCAGAUGAGCCUGCGUAAGAUUAGCUAGUUGGUAGGGUAAAAGCCUACCAAGGCAACGAUCUUUAGCUGGUCUGAGAGGAUGAUCAGCCACAUCGGGGCUGAGACACGGCCCGAACUCCUACGGGAGGCAGCAGUGGGGAAUAUUGGACAAUGGGGGCAACCCUGAUCCAGCAAUACCGCGUGUGUGAAGAAGGCCUGAGGGUUGUAAAGCACUUUCAAUUGUGAAGAAAAGCUAGUGGUUAAUAGCCAUUAGCCUUGACGUUAACUUUAGAAGAAGCACCGGCUAACUCCGUGCCAGCAGCCGCGGUAAUACGGAGGGUGCAAGCGUUAAUCGGAAUUACUGGGCGUAAAGCGUGCGUAGGCGGUUUAUUAAGUCAGAUGUGAAAGCCCCGGGGCUUAACCUGGGAACUGCAUUUGAAACUGGUCAACUAGAGUAUGGUAGAGGAAAGUGGAAUUUCUGGUGUAGCGGUGAAAUGCGUAGAUAUCAGAAGGAACAUCAAUGGCGAAGGCAACUUUCUGGACCAAUACUGACGCUGAGGUACGAAAGCGUGGGUAGCAAACAGGAUUAGAUACCCUGGUAGUCCACGCCGUAAACGAUGAUAACUAGCCGUUGGGGGGAUUUACCCCUUAGUGGCGAAGCUAACGCGUUAAGUUAUCCGCCUGGGGAGUACGGCCGCAAGGUUAAAACUCAAAGGAAUUGACGGGGACCCGCACAAGCGGUGGAGCAUGUGGUUUAAUUCGAUGCAACGCGAAGAACCUUACCUGGUCUUGACAUCCUGAGAACUUUCUAGAAAUAGAUUGGUGCCUUCGGGAACUCAGUGACAGGUGCUGCAUGGCUGUCGUCAGCUCGUGUCGUGAGAUGUUGGGUUAAGUCCCGUAACGAGCGCAACCCCUAUCCUUAUUUGCCAGCACAUCAUGGUGGGAACUAUAAGGAGACUGCCGGUGAUAAACCGGAGGAAGGCGGGGACGACGUCAAGUCAUCAUGGCCCUUACGACCAGGGCUACACACGUGCUACAAUGGGAAGGACAAAGAGCCGCGAAGCCGCGAGGUGUAGCUAAUCUCAGAAACCUUUUCGUAGUCCGGAUUGGAGUCUGCAACUCGACUCCAUGAAGUCGGAAUCGCUAGUAAUCGUAGAUCAGAAUGCUACGGUGAAUACGUUCCCGGGUCUUGUACACACCGC